GAUGAAGAACGUAGCAAAAUGCGAUAAGUAAUGUGAAUUGCAGAAUUCAGUGAAUCAUCGAAUCUUUGAACGCACAUUGCGCCCGCCAGUAUUCUGGCGGGCAUGCCUGUUCGAUCGUCAUUUCAACCCUCAAGCACAGCUUGGUGUUGGGACUCGCGUUAAUUCGCGUUCCCCAAAUUGAUUGGCGGUCACGUCGAGCUUCCAUAGCGUAGUAGUAAAACCCUCGUUACUGGUAAUCGUCGCGGCCACGCCGUUAAACCCCAACUUCUGAAUGUUGACCUCGGAUCAGGUAGGAAUACCCGCUGAACUUAAGCAUAUCAAUAAGCGGAGGA
This 332-nucleotide unclassified non-coding RNA is filed under the name soil metagenome. RNAcentral's name for it is "partial contains 5.8S ribosomal RNA, internal transcribed spacer 2, and large subunit ribosomal RNA". The stretch from base 1 to 120 matches the Rfam family "5.8S ribosomal RNA", at positions 35 to 154 of the family's 154-position model. The record is from RNAcentral.